RNAcentral lists this ribosomal RNA (465 nucleotides) under Vreelandella stevensii. RNAcentral describes it as "partial 16S ribosomal RNA". It matches the Rfam family "Bacterial small subunit ribosomal RNA", at positions 338 to 795 of the family's 1533-position model. The record is from RNAcentral. Lineage: Bacteria; Pseudomonadati; Pseudomonadota; Gammaproteobacteria; Oceanospirillales; Halomonadaceae.
CCUACGGGUGGCAGCAGUGGGGAAUAUUGGACAAUGGGGGGAACCCUGAUCCAGCCAUGCCGCGUGUGUGAAGAAGGCCCUCGGGUUGUAAAGCACUUUCAGUGAGGAAGAAUGCCUGGUGGUUAAUACCCAUCAGGAAAGACAUCACUCACAGAAGAAGCACCGGCUAACUCCGUGCCAGCAGCCGCGGUAAUACGGAGGGUGCGAGCGUUAAUCGGAAUUACUGGGCGUAAAGCGCGCGUAGGUGGCUUGAUAAGCCGGUUGUGAAAGCCCCGGGCUCAACCUGGGAACGGCAUCCGGAACUGUCAAGCUAGAGUGCAGGAGAGGAAGGUAGAAUUCCCGGUGUAGCGGUGAAAUGCGUAGAGAUCGGGAGGAAUACCAGUGGCGAAGGCGGCCUUCUGGACUGACACUGACACUGAGGUGCGAAAGCGUGGGUAGCAAACAGGAUUAGAUACCCUGGUAGUC